AACGCACCUUGCGCUCCUUGGUAUUCCGAGGAGCAUGCCUGUUUGAGUGUCAUUUAAUUCUCAACCAUGCCUCGAUUGAUUUCGAGACCCAUGGCUUGGAUUUUGGGUGUUGCCGGAGACCCUUUCUUGGGUCUUGGGCUCUCCUUAAAAGCAUUAGCAACGGCGGGCGAGUCCCUGCAUGCACGGCCUUCGACGUGAUAAUGAUCGUCGUGGCUGGAGUGUAGAGGGCGUUGCGAAUCGUCGGUGCUUCUAAAUCGUGACUUUUCGCUUUGGCGGAAAAGAACUCUUUGAAAUUUGACCUCAAAUCAGGUAGGACUACCCGCUGAACUUAA
RNAcentral lists this unclassified non-coding RNA (332 nucleotides) under uncultured Gyrodon. Its description in RNAcentral is "sequence contains ITS2". The stretch from base 1 to 52 matches the Rfam family "5.8S ribosomal RNA", at positions 103 to 154 of the family's 154-position model. The record is from RNAcentral. Lineage: Eukaryota; Fungi; Basidiomycota; Agaricomycetes; Boletales; Gyrodontaceae.